Molecule: unclassified non-coding RNA, 22 nt
Filed under: Mus musculus (house mouse)
Lineage: Eukaryota; Metazoa; Chordata; Mammalia; Rodentia; Muridae
Description: oocyte_clustered_small_RNA7670
Source: RNAcentral
ACAAAACUAGACACUACAGACA